Molecule: ribosomal RNA, 594 nt
Filed under: uncultured bacterium
Lineage: Bacteria
Description: bacterial SSU rRNA
Rfam family: Bacterial small subunit ribosomal RNA
Source: RNAcentral
AGUUGGUCAGGUAACGGCUGACCAAGGCGACGAUGUCUAGGGGUUCUGAGAGGAAGGUCCCCCACACUGGAACUGAGACACGGUCCAGACUCCUACGGGAGGCAGCAGUGAGGAAUAUUGGACAAUGGUCGGAAGACUGAUCCAGCCAUGCCGCGUGAAGGUUACGGUCCUAUGGAUUUUAAACUUCUUUUAUGCGGGAGCAAUAAGGUGCACGUGUGCAUCGAUGAGAGUACCUCAUGAAUAAGCAUCGGCUAACUCCGUGCCAGCAGCCGCGGCAAUACGGAGGAUGCAAGCGUUAUCCGGAUUUAUUGGGUUUAAAGGGUGCGUAGGCGGAAUUAUAAGUCAGCGGUGAAAUUCACAGGCUCAACCUGUGCCGUGCCGUUGAAACUGUAACUCUAGAAUACGGAUGCUGUGGGAGGAAUGUGUAGUGUAGCGGUGAAAUGCAUAGAUAUUACACAGAACACCGAUUGCGAAGGCAUCUCACAAAGUCGUCAUUGACGCUGAGGCACGAAAGUGUGGGGAUCAAACAGGAUUAGAUACCCUGGUAGUCCACUACUGUAAACGAUGAUAACUCGCUGCCGGCGACACACUGUC